GGGUUACCACUCCUCAGGGAAAUGCUUUGCAGCUGUACUGUAAGAGUGCCCUUCACUAUUUAAUACUUACAGGAAAAGGAACUUAUCUACUAUACAGAGGAGGAAACUGCAGCUCACAGAAGCUGUCACCUUUCUCCUGCUUAGGCAAACUUUGUUCAAGACCUUGUUUCAUGCCAGGGUGGACCCAUAAGCAAGGAGUUUACGCAAUGAUUGAAGCAUCAGCAUUUUUGUUUUGAGAAUUUACAAGGCACUCCAAGGGCUCAAGG
RNAcentral lists this long non-coding RNA (266 nucleotides) under Phasianus colchicus (ring-necked pheasant). RNAcentral describes it as "lncRNA (ENSPCLG00000000890.1)". Lineage: Eukaryota; Metazoa; Chordata; Aves; Galliformes; Phasianidae. The record is from RNAcentral.